GACGAACGCUGGCGGCGUGCUUAACACAUGCAAGUCGAACGGAAAGGCCCUGCUUUUGUGGGGUGCUCGAGUGGCGAACGGGUGAGUAACACGUGAGUAACCUGCCCUUGACUUUGGGAUAACUUCAGGAAACUGGGGCUAAUACCGGAUAGGAGCUCCUGCUGCAUGGUGGGGGUUGGAAAGUUUCGGCGGUUGGGGAUGGACUCGCGGCUUAUCAGCUUGUUGGUGGGGUAGUGGCUUACCAAGGCUUUGACGGGUAGCCGGCCUGAGAGGGUGACCGGCAAACUGGGGCCGAAGGUAGGGCCCAGCCCCCAAGGGGGGGAAAGGGGGGGAAAUUUGGCACAGGGGGGGAAAGCGUGUGCAGGAACGCCCCGGGGGGGAAUGCGGGCCUACGGGUUGAAAACCACUUUGGCCGUGAAGAAGGGGGGGGGGACGGUAAUGGGUAAAAAAGCACCGGCUAACUACGU
This 467-nucleotide ribosomal RNA is filed under the name uncultured bacterium. Its description in RNAcentral is "partial 16S ribosomal RNA". It matches the Rfam family "Bacterial small subunit ribosomal RNA", at positions 28 to 506 of the family's 1533-position model. The record is from RNAcentral.